GAUGAACGCUGGCGGCGUGCCUAAUACAUGCAAGUCGAGCGAACCACUUCGGUGGUGAGCGGCGAACGGGUGAGUAACACGUAGGUGAUCUGCCCAUCAGACGGGGACAACGAUUGGAACGAGCGCUAAUACCGGCUAGGACGAAAGUUUAAAGGUGCUUCUGGCACCGCUGAUGGAUGAGCCUGCGGCGCAUUAGCUAGCUGGUAGGGUAAAGGCCUACCAAGGCGACGAUGCGUAGCCGACCGGAGAGGGUGAACGGCCACACUGGGACUGAGACACGGCCCAGACUCCUACGGGAGGCAGCAGUAGGGAAUCUUCGGCAAUGGGCGAAAGCCUGACCGAGCAACGCCGCGUGAAUGAUGAAGGCCUUCGGGUUGUAAAAUUCUGUUAUAAGGGAAGAACGACUUUAGUAGGAAAUGGCUAGAGUGUGACGGUACCUUAUGAGAAAGCCACGGCUAACUACGUGCCAGCCGCCGCGGUAA
RNAcentral lists this ribosomal RNA (482 nucleotides) under uncultured bacterium. RNAcentral describes it as "partial 16S ribosomal RNA". It matches the Rfam family "Bacterial small subunit ribosomal RNA", at positions 28 to 523 of the family's 1533-position model. The record is from RNAcentral.